CGGAGAUGUGCAGAUGGAGACCUGGUGAGGUGGGACCUGACGCAGUGGAAAUCCAACUGCUUUCCUGAGCUUGACAACAACCUACAGUGUGCAUGGUCACACUACAAAAUCAAACUGUGGACAUCCAUGGUUCCCUCUACGGAGCCUGGGAAUUGUUCAAAGUCACUGGAGGAAGUCACACAAAACUGGUUGCAGAGCAUCCUCCCUGACAACAUCUCAGUGCAGGACAUCCUUGUGUCAUCCCCAUGGUAACACAACUUUUGUUUGCUAAACACUCCUGUCAGCUAGUAGGACCUUGAGGUACUUAGUUUGAAUAGCAAAACAGCAAC
Gymnodraco acuticeps is the source of this 329-nucleotide long non-coding RNA. RefSeq lists it as uncharacterized. The record is from RefSeq and is a predicted model, not a curated record. NCBI's taxonomy places the organism in Eukaryota, Metazoa, Chordata, Actinopteri, Perciformes, Bathydraconidae. The transcript has 3 exons.